Molecule: unclassified non-coding RNA, 612 nt
Filed under: Hevea brasiliensis (rubber tree)
Lineage: Eukaryota; Viridiplantae; Streptophyta; Magnoliopsida; Malpighiales; Euphorbiaceae
Source: RNAcentral
UGACAGUCUUCAUGUUUGCCUUAGCCAUUCCAUACCAUCACUGGACUCUCAAGGAUCACAGAAUUGGCUUCGUGGUCAUGUACUCAUUCACCUUUUUCUUCGCCAAUUUUGGUCCAAACGCCACAACAUUCGUCGUCCCUGCUGAGAUUUUCCCAGCCAGGCUUAGGUCCACAUGCCAUGGAAUAUCAGCAGCAGCAGGUAAAGCAGGAGCUAUGGUUGGUGCAUUUGGAUUCUUAUACGCUGCUCAGCCCACGGAUCCAACAAAGACUGACGCCGGUUACCCUCCUGGCAUUGGUGUGAGGAACUCGUUGAUCGUCCUUGGUUGUGUUAACUUCCUCGGUAUGCUGUUCACAUUCUUGGUUCCAGAAUCCAAUGGGAAGUCAUUGGAAGAUUUGUCGAGGGAAAACGAAGGGGAAGAGGAAACUGUAGCUGAAAUAAGAGCAACAAGUGGAAGGACAGUUCCUGUGUGAGUUUUAGACAAGUUAUCAGUUAGUAUACACUACAAUGCAGUUUGAGUUAAUUUGUGGUAUUUGGGAUUAGAAAGAGAUUGUUUGUUGGUUUGUUAUAAGAAGAUGGAAUAAGCUCUUAUCUUUUUGUUUGUUUGUUUGGGUA